Pristis pectinata (smalltooth sawfish) is the source of this 160-nucleotide small nuclear RNA. RefSeq annotates it as U1 spliceosomal RNA. The transcript has a single exon. NCBI's taxonomy places the organism in Eukaryota, Metazoa, Chordata, Chondrichthyes, Rhinopristiformes, Pristidae. The record is from RefSeq and is a predicted model, not a curated record.
UUACUGAUCUGGCAGAGGAGUGACGGAGAUCACAAGGCUGAUCUCCCGGGCUGAGGAUCCCCACUGCACUCCAGGUGAGAUGACUCCUGCUGUGUCCCAAAUGUGGGACACUCGACUGUAAAAUGUGUGGUGCUGGGGACGGUGUUCGCGGUCUCCCUGA